Schistosoma haematobium is the source of this 45-nucleotide non-coding RNA. The record is from Rfam. Lineage: Eukaryota; Metazoa; Platyhelminthes; Trematoda; Strigeidida; Schistosomatidae.
AUAUAGCUGAUGAGUUCCAAAUAGGAUGAAACGCGCGUUCUAGAU